GUUUAAAGGCCCAAGUACACUGCAUGCGUGAUCGUUGCGGUUCCGGUCCAGUUCAGUGUUGCCUGCGUGCCACGCAGUCCGUCAAAAACAGGCAAAUCAUACCGGCUGCUGCACGGCUGCGGUCCGCCAACCUCGUCCCCCCGUGCGAGGGGGCCGCUGGCGUCGGGAGCCUUGUCCACAAGCCAGUCGGGCAGCCACCACUGAAGGAACAACAGGAAAAGGAAGUCCAAAACUGCCACGAAGGCAAAGAUGGAGCCGGCCACAGGGCCGCAGUGAGUCCUGAGCCUUCGAAGGCGGCGGUCCAGCGGAAGCACCUCCUCGCCACAUACUCUGUCAUACACCUAAGAGGAAAACAUUUAACUUUGAGUUUGGCUUGAAAACAUGGCGGAAUUUGCUCAACAGUGUCAUCAAGAGGUUCCGCACCCGUGCGUGAAUGGAGGCCGGCGAAGGGACGGCACCGGAACGCUGGCGCUCUAUUACAGUUUCCAGCCCGGCACACAGCGAGCGUACGCUCGGCUCACAAAGCGUGAUCAAGUCCUCGGGUAGCACCUCAGGUAUCCCGCCCACGCGAGUGCUAACAACCUUCAAACAAUCAACAAUGAACUGAAUGAUAUUUCACAUGUACAUGUAUUCCCUGUUGUCAGUAAAUGUGACCCAGCACAAUAAAUGAUGUUUCAUUCCCGAGAAAUAUUGGCCUUUAAGAGGUGUGCGCUUUUUGGUUUUCCGAAAUUGUAAGAAAAUGGUGCUUAUACAACCUGUUAUCACAUCCAUUAUCACUCCACAAUGGCGUACCGCACGCAUGCUAUUUUAAGACCAUGAGGUCGCAUCGUAAAGCGGAAGUAAAGCCGAAGUGGGACAUUAUAGACUCGCCCUCGCAUAGAAACAAUGUAAUUUGUGCUACUUUUCUCCGGUAAUCUUUCAAAAAUGAACAUGCCGAUCACCCAUUGCUUUUUUUGGAACUUGUAGAAACGACUCUAGACAUUAUGACAUAUGAAGGAUGGUUUCUUCAUACGUUUCCGGAAACCAAAAACUCGGGAGGAAAAAAUGUGAAGACCGAAUCAACUUGCGCAGACUUUUAACACCAGUUCGGUGAAUCCAUUCACAUUUCAUGUGCAGUAAACAUU
This is a long non-coding RNA of Corythoichthys intestinalis (scribbled pipefish), 1124 nucleotides long. RefSeq lists it as uncharacterized. The transcript is spliced from 3 exons. Lineage: Eukaryota; Metazoa; Chordata; Actinopteri; Syngnathiformes; Syngnathidae. The record is from RefSeq and is a predicted model, not a curated record.